RNAcentral lists this ribosomal RNA (253 nucleotides) under uncultured bacterium. RNAcentral's name for it is "partial 16S ribosomal RNA". It matches the Rfam family "Bacterial small subunit ribosomal RNA", at positions 524 to 776 of the family's 1533-position model. The record is from RNAcentral.
UACGUAGGUGGCGAGCGUUAUCCGGAUUUACUGGGCGUAAAGGGUGUGCAGGCGGGCUGUUAAGUGGUGUAUGAAAUCGCCGGGCUCAACCGGGCGAGGUUAUGCCAGACUGGCAGUCUAGAGAGCGAGAGAGGGACGUGGAAUUCCGGGUGUAGUGGUGAAAUGCGUAGAGAUCCGGAGGAACCCCAGAGGCGAAGGCGGCGUCCUGGCUCGCAUCUGACGCUCAGACACGACAGCAUGGGGAGCGAACGGG